RNAcentral lists this ribosomal RNA (253 nucleotides) under uncultured bacterium. RNAcentral's name for it is "partial 16S ribosomal RNA". It matches the Rfam family "Bacterial small subunit ribosomal RNA", at positions 524 to 776 of the family's 1533-position model. The record is from RNAcentral.
UACGUAGGGUGCAAGCGUUAUUCGGAAUUAUUGGGCGUAAAGAGCUCGUAGGCGGCCUGUUGCGUCUGCUGUGAAAACUCGAGGCUCAACCUCCAGCCUGCAGUGGGUACGGGCAGACUAGAGUGCGGUAGGGGAGAUUGGAAUUCCUGGUGUAGCGGUGGAAUGCGCAGAUAUCAGGAGGAACACCGAUGGCGAAGGCAGAUCUCUGGGCCGUAACUGACGCUGAGGAGCGAAAGCAUGGGGAGCGAACAGG